UGGGGAAUUUUGGACAAUGGGCGAAAGCCUGAUCCAGCAAUGCCGCGUGUGUGAAGAAGGCCUUCGGGUUGUAAAGCACUUUUGUCCGGAAAGAAAUCCUUGGCUCUAAUACAGUCGGGGGAUGACGGUACCGGAAGAAUAAGCACCGGCUAACUACGUGCCAGCAGCCGCGGUAAUACGUAGGGUGCAAGCGUUAAGUCGGAAUUACUGGGCGUAAAGCGUGCGCAGGCGGUUUGCUAAGACCGAUGUGAAAUCCCCGGGCUCAACCUGGGAACUGCAUUGGUGACUGGCAGGCUAGAGUAUGGCAGAGGGGGGUAGAAUUCCACGUGUAGCAGUGAAAUGCGUAGAGAUGUGGAGAAUACCGAUGGCGAAGGCAGCCCCCUGGGCCAAUACUGACGCUCAUGCAUGAAAGCGUGGGGAGCAAACAGGAUUAGAUACCCUGGUAGUCCACGCCCUAAACGAUGUCAACUAGUUGUUGGGGAUUCAUUUCCUUAGUAACGUAGCUAACGCGUGAAGUUGACCGCCUGGGGAGUACGGUCGCAAGAUUAAAACUCAAAGGAAUUGACGGGGUCAUAGCUGUUUCCU
This 585-nucleotide ribosomal RNA is filed under the name uncultured bacterium. Its description in RNAcentral is "partial 16S ribosomal RNA". It matches the Rfam family "Bacterial small subunit ribosomal RNA", at positions 355 to 1375 of the family's 1533-position model. The record is from RNAcentral.